GAGAAGAGUCAGUGGUCCUGAGGUACAGUACUUAAGAUAACCCUGUGAAGGCUGAGAUUGAUAUUUGAAAUUCACAACUGAUCUUGGAGCCUGGUACAGCAGUCAUGGAGCCAUAUUGGAUUGUGAAAGGAACUCAGUUGACCUGGCCUAUUGCAGAUUUAUUCUGAGAAUUUCAAUUCAGUCUUUGCUGCUGUUUGGAAAUCUUUCAUGAAUCUUUUAAUAACUUCCUUACAUACAUCUUGUUCCAUUAAAGCCCCAAAUUUGGCUUUGUCAGCUCUCUUUCUUCAUAAUCUUUAGGAUUUGUUCAUGUGUGGAUGUGAUGGAACUGAAGUCGCUAGGUUCAUGCUACCUGGAACAUGAGACUGACAAAUAGAGGAGCACUGAGUCAAAUGAAUCUCGGAGAAAUGGAGCUGGAAGAAAACUGGAGUAAGCCUGUCCCUGAAAGGGCACUACAUUUGGAUAUCCAGCAGUGGGACUCAAUAUUUUUUCUUGUUGUUUAAUCUCAUUUCUGUUACUUGCAGCCAAAGGCUCUUAAUGAGAAAAUGGCUCUACCUAGUUUUCUGAAAUUGCCUCAGUCUCUCCACUCUUCCCUAUUACAAAGGUCAUCUCUUUAAUUCACAUCCAAUAACUGAUAGUCUCUUGACUAAUCUACAUCCUCUCAUUCUCUCCUAAUUCACCUUUCAUACUGUUGCCAGGUGACUUUUCCUAAAAGACAACUUUCAUGAUGUCACUCUACUUCAUAAAUUCUUAUAAUGGUUUCUUUUUGCUUUUAGUCCAAACUCCUCAGGUUCGUUUUCAA
RNAcentral lists this long non-coding RNA (799 nucleotides) under Homo sapiens (human). Its description in RNAcentral is "non-protein coding lnc-FABP5-2:6". Lineage: Eukaryota; Metazoa; Chordata; Mammalia; Primates; Hominidae. The record is from RNAcentral.